RNAcentral lists this long non-coding RNA (1401 nucleotides) under Nicotiana tabacum (common tobacco). RNAcentral describes it as "long non-coding RNA (NTAB_LNC015416)". The record is from RNAcentral. Lineage: Eukaryota; Viridiplantae; Streptophyta; Magnoliopsida; Solanales; Solanaceae.
AGGGAGCUGUGGAGAGUUCAGUAUGCUUUGAGCCGUAUCAGGAAUGCUGCAAGAAUGCUUCUGACCUUGGAUGAGAAAGACCCACGUCGUAUUUUUGAAGGUGAAGCACUCUUGAGGAGGAUGAACAGAUAUGGGUUAUUGGAUGAGAGCCAAAACAAGCUCGAUUAUGUCUUGUCUCUCACUGUGGAGAACUUUCUUGAGCGUCGUCUCCAAACCCUUGUCUUCAAGACUGGCAUGGCUAAGUCUAUCCACCAUGCUAGAGUGCUCAUUAGACAAAGGCAUAUCAGGUAAUAACAUAUUACAGUUUUAGUGACACAGUUCAAAUAAAUAACCUCAAGUCUAUUUUUUCUUUUUUGGUACUUUCUUUGAUUGUAAAAGUACAUAGCAGGAAUUCUUGUAGCGAAGAAAAAUUUGCUACAAUGAUAAAGCAAUAUAUGGCUUUUUAAUGUUAUUAGGCAAACAAUUUACUGUUUUAUAAGAAAUGUUACAAGUUUCAGUCAAUGACGUGACUUUCUUUUUACUAAAGAGGUUUAACAUAUAUUUUAUGUUUGAGGUAGCAUAAUAUAUUUUAUAGACUGUGAAAUUACUAAUAUGAGCUUAUGAUAUAAAGGGGGAUGGUUGUCGUACAUUUAGGGCUAGCAAAAAUAUUCGAAUAAUCAAAUAAUCAUGAAUCCUUGCGCUCAUAUAUAAUUGAUGUGUUAUUUGAGGAAAAAGAUAAGUCAUAUUUGGGUUCUACUUCCAUUUGAAAGGCCUCCCUGAGUUCUUUACUUUCAUUUUCGAGUCCUCUGCCUAAUGCACCAAUUUAUUUCAAGAUGUGCUUCUGUACCAAAAAGUUUCAGAGCAUCUUUUAAGGCUGAGUAAGAUCCCUGAACUAUAACAAUAGUUUCUAGUCUGAUCCUGCUGAACGGGAUCAGACUGCAUCUUGUGAAGAUUGUUUUAGCACUGUCGAUUUUAUAUUUAAGGAAAUGAAGGAAAAAUAUUGUCUCAUUUAUUGCCAUUGUUUCUACAGUGGUAAUAGAUUAAAAUUAUUUUUUCUUUAUUUAGUACUUCUGUGCACAUUCACUCUAGGCUAGUUAUCACUUUAUUAGUAUGUAUCUAAUGUUGUUGUCUUGCAGAGUUGGUAGGCAGGUGGUGAAUGUUCCUUCUUUUAUGGUAAGACUGGACUCCCAGAAGCACAUUGACUUCUCUCUCAUCAGUCCUUUCGGUGGUGGGCGCCCUGGAAGAGUGAAGAGAAAGAACCAAAAGGCUGCUGCAAAGAAGGCAUCUGGUGGCGAUGGAGAUGAGGAAGAUGAAGAAUGAGCUCUUAUCUUUUCUUGUGUUUGGAUUUAAUAUUUAUACUUGCCUAUUUAGUACUUGUUUUAUGUUUUGCUACUUUUAUGUACUGUCGUGUGUUAGAAAUGU